CAAAAAUGCACAUAUUGUGAGCUCGAUGAGUAGGGCGGGACACGUGGUAUCCUGUCUGAAUAUGGGGGGCCCAUCCUCCAAGGCUAAAUACUCCUGACUGACCGAUAGUGAACCAGUACCGUGAGGGAAAGGCGAAAAGAACCCCGGCGAGGGGAGUGAAAAAGAACCUGAAACCGUGUACGUACAAGCAGUGGGAGCACGCUUAGGCGUGUGACUGCGUACCUUUUGUAUAAUGGGUCAGCGACUUAUAUUCUGUAGCAAGGUUAACCGAAUAGGGGAGCCGAAGGGAAACCGAGUCUUAACUGGGCGUUAAGUUGCAGGGUAUAGACCCGAAACCCGGUGAUCUAGCCAUGGGCAGGUUGAAGGUUGGGUAACACUAACUGGAGGACCGAACCGACUAAUGUUGAAAAAUUAGCGGAUGACUUGUGGCUGGGGGUGAAAGGCCAAUCAAACCGGGAGAUAGCUGGUUCUCCCCGAAAGCUAUUUAGGUAGCGCCUCGUGAAUUCAUCUCCGGGGGUAGAGCACUGUUUCGGCAAGGGGGUCAUCCCGACUUACCAACCCGAUGCAAACUGCGAAUACCGGAGAAUGUUAUCACGGGAGACACACGGCGGGUGCUAACGUCCGUCGUGAAGAGGGAAACAACCCAGACCGCCAGCUAAGGUCCCAAAGUCAUGGUUAAGUGGGAAACGAUGUGGGAAGGCCCAGACAGCCAGGAUGUUGGCUUAGAAGCAGCCAUCAUUUAAAGAAAGCGUAAUAGCUCACUGGUCGAGUCGGCCUGCGCGGAAGAUGUAACGGGGCUAAACCAUGCACCGAAGCUGCGGCAGCGACGCUUAUGCGUUGUUGGGUAGGGGAGCGUUCUGUAAGCCUGCGAAGGUGUGCUGUGAGGCAUGCUGGAGGUAUCAGAAGUGCGAAUGCUGACAUAAGUAACGAUAAAGCGGGUGAAAAGCCCGCUCGCCGGAAGACCAAGGGUUCCUGUCCAACGUUAAUCGGGGCAGGGUGAGUCGACCCCUAAGGCGAGGCCGAAAGGCGUAGUCGAUGGGAAACAGGUUAAUAUUCCUGUACUUGGUGUUACUGCGAAGGGGGGACGGAGAAGGCUAUGUUGGCCGGGCGACGGUUGUCCCGGUUUAAGCGUGUAGGCUGGUUUUCCAGGCAAAUCCGGAAAAUCAAGGCUGAGGCGUGAUGACGAGGCACUACGGUGCUGAAGCAACAAAUGCCCUGCUUCCAGGAAAAGCCUCUAAGCAUCAGGUAACAUCAAAUCGUACCCCAAACCGACACAGGUGGUCAGGUAGAGAAUACCAAGGCGCUUGAGAGAACUCGGGUGAAGGAACUAGGCAAAAUGGUGCCGUAACUUCGGGAGAAGGCACGCUGAUAUGUAGGUGAAGUCCCUUGCGGAUGGAGCUGAAAUCAGUCGAAGAUACCAGCUGGCUGCAACUGUUUAUUAAAAACACAGCACUGUGCAAACACGAAAGUGGACGUAUACGGUGUGACGCCUGCCCGGUGCCGGAAGGUUAAUUGAUGGGGUCAGCGCAAGCGAAGCUCUUGAUCGAAGCCCCGGUAAACGGCGGCCGUAACUAUAACGGUCCUAAGGUAGCGAAAUUCCUUGUCGGGUAAGUUCCGACCUGCACGAAUGGCGUAAUGAUGGCCAGGCUGUCUCCACCCGAGACUCAGUGAAAUUGAACUCGCUGUGAAGAUGCAGUGUACCCGCGGCAAGACGGAAAGACCCCGUGAACCUUUACUAUAGCUUGACACUGAACAUUGAGCCUUGAUGUGUAGGAUAGGUGGGAGGCUUUGAAGUGUGGACGCCAGUCUGCAUGGAGCCGGCCUUGAAAUACCACCCUUUAAUGUUUGAUGUUCUAACGUGGACCCGUGAUCCGGGUUGCGGACAGUGUCUGGUGGGUAGUUUGACUGGGGCGGUCUCCUCCUAAAGAGUAACGGAGGAGCACGAAGGUUGGCUAAUCCUGGUCGGACAUCAGGAGGUUAGUGCAAUGGCAUAAGCCAGCUUGACUGCGAGCGUGACGGCGCGAGCAGGUGCGAAAGCAGGUCAUAGUGAUCCGGUGGUUCUGAAUGGAAGGGCCAUCGCUCAACGGAUAAAAGGUACUCCGGGGAUAACAGGCUGAUACCGCCCAAGAGUUCAUAUCGACGGCGGUGUUUGGCACCUCGAUGUCGGCUCAUCACAUCCUGGGGCUGAAGUAGGUCCCAAGGGUAUGGCUGUUCGCCAUUUAAAGUGGUACGCGAGCUGGGUUUAGAACGUCGUGAGACAGUUC
This 2264-nucleotide ribosomal RNA is filed under the name Shigella sonnei. RNAcentral's name for it is "partial 23S ribosomal RNA". It matches the Rfam family "Bacterial large subunit ribosomal RNA", at positions 380 to 2632 of the family's 2925-position model. The record is from RNAcentral. Lineage: Bacteria; Pseudomonadati; Pseudomonadota; Gammaproteobacteria; Enterobacterales; Enterobacteriaceae.